RNAcentral lists this long non-coding RNA (1729 nucleotides) under Olea europaea subsp. europaea. The record is from RNAcentral. Lineage: Eukaryota; Viridiplantae; Streptophyta; Magnoliopsida; Lamiales; Oleaceae.
CACCAUGGUUACGAGAAGCUUUAUUGUCUUCUCCAAUUCCAAAUGGCAGGGUUCAAUCCAAAUCGCAUCGUUGUAUCAAAACCCUAGCCAUCAGAUUAUUUGAUACCUCUGAAUUCCUGUUACUUUCUGGUGAUUCUUUUCAUCCCUUUCGUUGUUUUUCAUUUUAUCGUUAAUCAUUCUUUAAAAAAAAAGGAUAUAUAUAUAUAUAUAUAUCUUCUUAUUUUUGCACGUGUGAGAGCAUUUGAAAAGUAUCUAGAAUGGUAAAUAAGAUGAUUAGAUGAAACGGAUUGUUGGAAGGAAGUGAUUGGAACUAAAGAUAUACUUCGAGAGAAAUGGGAUUCAUUCAAUAGGAUUAAUAUAGUUUGAGAUUUGAGUAUAUUUUAUUAACUGUGAUUUUUUAUUUCCAGUAGUUGCUCAGAGUUGCGUUUUUUGGUGAUUGAAUUGCAAUUCUCUGUCAAUAGAUCAAAGAUACAGUAGAGGAGUUUAAAAGGAAGUGAGACUGCUGAAGGUGGAAAUGGAAGCUGCUCAAGUUUUUCUGGCAGAGCAGUUUUCUAGUCCUAGAUUGGAUUCUGUAUCAGCAUCCUCUGCAAUGAAGCAGUACGAUUCAUCUACAAGUAACAGCACAUGCUUCUCAUAUAUUUUUUUAAACCUUUUUUAUACAGAUGAAUGCUUUUUGGCAUUUUCAGAUGUAAGUUUUCUUUGUUAUAUAACUAGGAUUCAGGUUUUCACUAAGAAACACAAAUGCAGGAACCAGGAGAAGAAUUUGGGAUAUAAUUACCUCCCGUUGGGACAAAAUAUCAUGUCGCAUUCAUUAGCCUUGCAAGUGAAAGUGCUGGUUACAUCAUUAAAUGCAUAGCUUUAAGCUCUUGGACAUCCACUCUUGAAGAUAUUUGAGUAGAAUGACGGCCGGCAAGUCGCGACUUCUUCGCUGCAGCAGUACUGGUCUUGUCCGAAAGCCUAACAUGUGCUCUUGCAGCCAUCAGCUUCGCUCCCACCUUCACCUUCACCAUUACCAAUCACCUGAAGGUUUUUUGGACAACCUGUUCGAUAUCCAAUAUUGAUUGCUCAGAUGAAUACGUUUUUACACAGAUGUAAGUUUACUCAGGUGAAUCAUAAUUUCAACACCUUUAGCUUGAAAAAUAAAUAAAUUUUCUCUUUGGCAGCAAAUGAUCUACAUUCGUAUACAUUUGUGUUAAUGCCCUCAUGUGUGUGCACACCUUGUCUAUUUAUGGGCAUUUCAUCCAUUCAUUUGAGGAGAUGUCACAAAUUGGACCACAUUGCAAAAAGAAAAACUGCACCAUUUUGGAUGAUUCGUAAAAAUUUGCAAUCUAGAUGAUAAAUGAGAUUUUUGACACUUACGAAAGUAUUAAGAUCACUAUCCUUUAUCCCUUAGAUAUCUGAUAUUAAACAUUUUCCAUAUGGUUUUGAAAUGGUAUUUGUAGCACUUCUUCCGUUUAUGAAGACAGCAUAUUGUAAUUUGACUAAAUCUUGGAUUUACCAAAUAUCAUCACAUUCCAUCAAGUAGAAUUAAUUCUCACUGAAGUUAGCAAUGGAUUCUUUGUCCAGUUAAUUAAUUCGGAAGUAGACAUUCUUAAAGAUGGUUUUGAGUGUUUUCAUUCCUCAAAAAUGCCAUCUGUCAUGAUCACUGUGUUUUAAUUUAAGGCAAAUACAUUUCUUAAAAUCCAAGUUCACAUAUUUAUUUAAGGCAAAUACAUUUCUUAAAAUCCAA